GGUGACCUGCGGAGGAUCAUUAUUGAAUAAACCUGAUGAGUUGCUGCUGGUUCUCUAGGGAACAUGUGCACACUUGUCGUCUUUAUAUAUCUCCACCUGUGCACCUUUUGUAGACCUGGUCUGGGCCUAUGUUUCUUCAUAUCUCCAAUGUAUUUAUUGAAUGUAAUAAUGGGCCUUAUAUCUCUCUGAGUGCUAGCACUUAGGUUUGAGGAUUGACUUUAUGUCUGUCCUUAGAUUUUGAAAUGUAAUCCGAGGUGAGGCGGGCCUCGUCUUUCGUGGAAAGGGCUGCCGCGGUCAUUACCCAUGCACUCGUGCAAAUUUAACCAGUGUGAACCGAGUUGGAUGGCCUGGCCCAACCUCUGCUUAGACCCCCUUUUUCCAAAUUGUUUUUUCUUGAAUGAACUGGGCCUUAAUGGACCGCUGGAUUUGUACUGAAUCUCUUGGCUCUAGGGAUCUUUAGGAUCUCACAUAAAUGAAAAACGUAACGAAAUGCGAAAAAUUCUGUGAAUUGCAGAAUUUUUGAACUCACCUUAUCUUUGAUGGCAUUUUGCGCACUAUGGUUGUCCGGAUGGCGUGAAUGUUUGAGUGUCGUAAUCUUUUCUUUCUCCUCGGGUUCGCAUUCGGUGCGGGAAGUAGUUGGGGGUGGAGCUGCGGUGAGGCAACUCCUGUUAUGAUUUUCCUUUUGGACCGUGUCAUGCGCCUCUCACUAUUCAUUGGUGUGAUAACUAUCUACGCUAUUUGACGUGAAACAGUUCAGCUUCUAGUAGUCCAUUGACUUGGACAAAUCUUCAUUCAUUAAUGUGACCUCAAAUCAGGUAGGACUACCCGCUGAACUUA
Molecule: ribosomal RNA, 837 nt
Filed under: Thaxterogaster alboaggregatus
Lineage: Eukaryota; Fungi; Basidiomycota; Agaricomycetes; Agaricales; Cortinariaceae
Description: eukaryotic LSU rRNA
Rfam family: 5.8S ribosomal RNA (bases 438-591)
Source: RNAcentral